This 561-nucleotide long non-coding RNA is filed under the name Solanum tuberosum (potato). RNAcentral describes it as "long non-coding RNA (STUB_LNC000730)". Lineage: Eukaryota; Viridiplantae; Streptophyta; Magnoliopsida; Solanales; Solanaceae. The record is from RNAcentral.
UCGAAGCAGCAUAUUGUCAGGGAAAAAGGUUAUGGGGAAUACACUAACCCCAUUCCAUAGUUUCUCAUGGCUGCUUAAUUAUACAUGCAUACAGAAAAACCUUGAACAAUCCAGCCAACAUGACAUCAGUUUCUACUUUCUAAGGACACUAUGAAUACUUCUGCUCGAUUGAGUUUAAAUUCUAAGACAAUCAGAACAAGAAAACUUGUAGAGAUGAGGAUGGAUUCAGCCAAAUCUAGUUUCUAUCUUUUAGCUAGAAAGUAUUAGCUACCAUCAUUUUUUGCCAGAAUUAGUCUAACUAGAAAGUGACUAUGCAAAUCAACAAAAUAAACUAAAAAUUUAGGAAUUUGUUGCUUACUUGGACAACAAAAAAGUAGAGGUCAUUCAGUUGAAACAAAAGAUGUCGCAGGUUGAACAUGUGACUGUUGAGCAGCGAAGAGUUCCUUCAUUUUCAUUAUUUCUUUCAUCUCAUUUUCUAAGGUAGACAAUCGAUCGUUCAAGGAUUUGAUUUCAUCUCAUUUUCAAAGGUAGACAAUCGAUCGUUCAAGGAUUUGUUUUCCU